This 72-nucleotide transfer RNA is filed under the name Scleropages formosus (Asian bonytongue). Its description in RNAcentral is "tRNA-Ala". The record is from RNAcentral. Lineage: Eukaryota; Metazoa; Chordata; Actinopteri; Osteoglossiformes; Osteoglossidae.
GCAGCAGGUGGCGUAGUGAUUAGAGCCAUCGUUUUGCAAUCGAAAGUCCCGGGUUCGAAUGUCGUCCCUGCG